UACGAAGGGGGCUAGCGUUGUUCGGAAUUACUGGGCGUAAAGCGUGCGCAGGCGGCUUCUCAAGUCAGGGGUGAAGGCCCAGAGCUCAACUCUGGAAUUGCCUUUGAGACUGAGUGGCUUGAGUACGAGAGAGGUGAGUGGAAUUCCCAGUGUAGAGGUGAAAUUCGUAGAUAUUGGGAAGAACACCGGUGGCGAAGGCGGCUCACUGGCUCGUAACUGACGCUCAUGCACGACAGCGUGGGGAUCAAACAGG
RNAcentral lists this ribosomal RNA (253 nucleotides) under uncultured bacterium. Its description in RNAcentral is "partial 16S ribosomal RNA". It matches the Rfam family "Bacterial small subunit ribosomal RNA", at positions 524 to 776 of the family's 1533-position model. The record is from RNAcentral.